RNAcentral lists this ribosomal RNA (429 nucleotides) under uncultured bacterium. RNAcentral's name for it is "bacterial SSU rRNA". It matches the Rfam family "Bacterial small subunit ribosomal RNA", at positions 355 to 776 of the family's 1533-position model. The record is from RNAcentral.
UGGGGAAUUUUGCGCAAUGGACGAAAGUCUGACGCAGCAACGCCGCGUGGGUGAUGAAGGUCUUCGGAUUGUAAAACCCUGUCGUCAGGGACGAAGGUUGGGGCUUUAAUAGAGUUUCAACUUGACGGUACCUGGAGAGGAAGCCCCGGCUAACUCUGUGCCAGCAGCCGCGGUAAUACAGAGGGGGCAAGCGUUAUUCGGAAUUACUGGGCGUAAAGGGCGCGUAGGCGGUUCUUUAAGUCGGAUGUGCAAUCCCCGAGCUCAACUUGGGAACUGCAUCCGAAACUGGGGAGCUAGAGUGCUGGAGAGGGUGGUGGAAUUCCACGUGUAGCGGUGAAAUGCGUAGAGAUGUGGAGGAACACCAGUGGCGAAGGCGGCCACCUGGACAGUAACUGACGCUGAGGCGCGAAAGUGUGGGUAGCAAACAGG